AGAGUUUGAUCCUGGCUCAGGACGAACGCUGGCGGCGUGCUUAACACAUGCAAGUCUACGAGAAAGUGUCUUUCGGGAUACGAGUAAAGUGGCGCACGGGUGAGUAACACGUAAGCAAUCUACCCUUAGGCCUAGGAUAACCCCGAGAAAUCGGGGCUAAUACUGGAUGAUGCAGCGGCACCGCAUGGUGAUGUUGUUAAAGUCUAUAUGGCGUCUAAGGAUGAACUUGCGUCUGAUUAGCUUGUUGGUGAGGUAACGGCUUACCAAGGCUACGAUCAGUAGCUGGUCUGAGAGGAUGAUCAGCCACACUGGAACUGAGACACGGUCCAGACUCCUACGGGAGGCAGCAGUGAGGAAUAUUGGGCAAUGGGCGAAAGCCUGACCCAGCAACGCCGCGUGGAGGAUGAAUGUCGUAAGAUUGUAAACUCCUGUUAGAGGGGAAGAAUAAUCCCGAUCGACUCGGGACUUGACUGUACCCUCAGAGAAAGCUCCGGCUAACUACGUGCCAGCAGCCGCGGUAAUACGUAGGGAGCGAGCGUUGUCCGGAUUUACUGGGUGUAAAGGGCGCGCAGGCGGAUCAGUAAGUCAGAGGUGAAAUCCUACAGCUCAACUGUAGAACUGCCUUUGAUACUGCUUAUCUUGAGUAUGGAAGAGAGAGACGGAAUUCCAGGUGUAGUGGUGAAAUACGUAGAUAUCUGG
Molecule: ribosomal RNA, 699 nt
Filed under: uncultured bacterium
Lineage: Bacteria
Description: bacterial SSU rRNA
Rfam family: Bacterial small subunit ribosomal RNA
Source: RNAcentral